This 410-nucleotide ribosomal RNA is filed under the name Chaetoceros affinis. Its description in RNAcentral is "partial Bacterial large subunit ribosomal RNA". It matches the Rfam family "Bacterial large subunit ribosomal RNA", at positions 504 to 914 of the family's 2925-position model. The record is from RNAcentral. Lineage: Eukaryota; Bacillariophyta; Thalassiosirophyceae; Chaetocerotales; Chaetocerotaceae.
UGAGGGAAAGGUGAAAAGCCCCCGACGAGGGGAGUGAAACAGUUCCUGAAACCGGAUGCUUACAAACAGUGGGAGCUCAAGGUUCGUCUUGAGUGACCGCGUACAUUUUGUAUAAUGGGUCAGCGACUUAUUUUCAGUGGCGAGCUUAACCGAAUAGGGGAGGCGUAGCGAAAGCGAGUCUUAAUAGGGCGUCUAGUCGCUGGGAAUAGACCCGAAACCGGGCGAUCUAUCCAUGGGCAGGUUGAAGGUUGGGUAACACUAACUGGAGGACCGAACCGACUACCUUUGAAAAGUUAGCGGAUGACCUGUGGAUCGGAGUGAAAGGCUAAUCAAGCUCGGAGAUAGCUGGUUCUCCUCGAAAGCUAUUUAGGUAGCGCCUCAUGUAUCACUCCAGGGGGUAGAGCACUGUU